GACGAGCGCUGGCGGCGCGCCUAACACAUGCAAGUCGAACGAGCGAGAGAGGGCUUGCUUUCUUGAGCGAGUGGCGAACGGGUGAGUAACGCGUGAGGAACCUGCCUCAAAGAGGGGGACAACAGUUGGAAACGACUGCUAAUACCGCAUAAGCCCACGACCCGGCAUCGGGUUGAGGGAAAAGGAGCAAUCCGCUUUGAGAUGGCCUCGCGUCCGAUUAGCUAGUUGGUGAGGUAACGGCCCACCAAGGCGACGAUCGGUAGCCGGACUGAGAGGUUGAACGGCCACAUUGGGACUGAGACACGGCCCAGACUCCUACGGGAGGCAGCAGUGGGGAAUAUUGCACAAUGGGGGAAACCCUGAUGCAGCGACGCCGCGUGGAGGAAGAAGGUCUUCGGAUUGUAAACUCCUGUUGUUGAGGAAGAUAAUGACGGUACUCAACAAGGAAGUGACGGCUAACUACGUG
This 466-nucleotide ribosomal RNA is filed under the name uncultured bacterium. RNAcentral's name for it is "partial 16S ribosomal RNA". It matches the Rfam family "Bacterial small subunit ribosomal RNA", at positions 28 to 507 of the family's 1533-position model. The record is from RNAcentral.